UUGAAAAUGUUACUGCGAUAAAGGGAUCUAUCAAUAAUUAAACCCCUUCCACACGACCCAAGUUUACGCCAAAUUUGAUUAGAUUGACAAUAAAAUUGGGUCGUGUGGAAAUAUGAAAUUCAAAGUCGGGAAGAAAGAAAUUCAAAUCGGGCGAUACCGACCACCCAAUGGGGUGGUCGGUAUCGCCCGAUUUGGGAUUGCUCAGUCAAAUACUGAAAUUGGCGAUAUAGUUGUGUACGUGUGGACGGACGAUCAGAUUGUACCCAAUUCAAUCAGCAAUCAAAUUGUGUCGUAUGGAAGGGGUUUAAGUGUUGUUUUAUAACUAUAGUGUUGAUAGUCAAGAAGAAACGUUUUUUUUUUUUCGCUGAACAUGAAAUACAACAAAAUACAACAAUUUCUAAAACAAAGUAAAAAUGUAAAAGAAUAUAUUAUAACGACAUACUAAGUUCAAUGAUCAUCAGAUCAACAAUUUUAAUAUAUAAAAAACAAAAAAAAAUUACUUAAUUUUCUUUGGAAGCUGAGGCGUGGCUUAGCUGGUACGUCUAUUGUAAUGUAAAUAGGAAUUGUUACUUAAAUAUUUUCUGUUCAAAAGUAGCACUACGUAACUUGUGUGGUGUUUACAGAUGUUUAAGUAUUAAAUAUAGAGUUCUAGUAAUGUGCGGAUAGCCCGAAAAAUAUUUUUAUUGCUUUUUUACGUGUUUUCUAUGCCAAUUAAAUAAUAGAAAUUUAAUACGUAAAAGUCAUCACAUAGCAAAAAAUAAAAUGAUUUUCAGUAGAAUGUUUCUGUAAGUAGUUACAUGUACUAUGAAAUUUCUGUGUUAUUCUCUAUUUUUAAUGCACUGGUGACUUUUGUUGUUACAAUUUUAAUAUAUUUACUAAUUUUAAAGUUUCCAAGUGAAGACCGUACCACGUAAGAAAAACCCGUGACAAUAUGAGCCACUUUCUGUUUGCAGCGACAGUAGCGCCCACGGCUACGGGACUUCUUUCUUGGUACGAACUCUGUGACCAAAAUCGUCACCAACUAUUUAAAUGGAUUUGUUAUUCCUUUCACACAUGCUUUUAAUUUAAUUUUGAAAAUAAUAAUGAGAUGAAAAAAUUCUUGUUUCGAGCUGGAAUUGAACCCACGCCCCUGUUUAUCUGGGACAGUGCUCUUAACCACUGAGCUAUCGAGACCAUGCCAAUUUUUCAUCUCAUUUCACGUCACCAAAUGUAUCAAUACACUUGUAUUGAUAAAUUUGUAUACAUUUUUAUGUGCCGUUUGUGUAACUCUAGAAUUGUAAAAUAUCUUAAUAUUUAUGGAUACGGUACGAAAUUAUAACUAAUAAAAUGGUAGGUAAAUAUGGCAAUAUUAACAAAAUUCCCACAACUUUCAUCUUAAUUCAUUGAUCGAUUUGCUGUGGUGUUAGGACUUCUCAUUUUAGUGUUAAUAAAAUUAAUAUUUUACUUUAUUGCUUCUUAAAAUAAGUUCGUUAUUAAAUAAACAUGUUUGAAUAUGUCGUUUUAUUCCUUAAUCACUAGCGUGCCAUAGGCGUUUCGUCGUAUCGUUUUGCGUGUAAUCUACUGCAAUAGUUUUGCAAUCCCCAAUGCCAAGGGCAUUAUUUUGGUUCAAAAUAUAUUAAAAAAAACAAUAUUUUUUAUCCAAUUUGUGAUAUACAUCACCAUUUUCAAGUAGGGUUAAGUUCUUCCAUCUACCUCUGUCCCUUUUCUUAUCACUUAACACUCCCUCCAGUUCAUACUUUCUCUGACGCAAUUCAUCUACCUAUUCUUAGUUUUUCCUAUUUUCCCUAUAACUUUAUUUUUGUGUUCAAAUUACGAUUUUUAUGUAAUAACGAUUUCAGCCGAAUUGAUCCAGAUGGUUUCCGGCAAGACAUACAUACACCACGAAAACUACACAUUUUUCUAUCGAUACCAAGUCAAGCAAGGGCACAAGUGGGUCUGCACCAGCUUCCCUAGAUGCAAGGCCUUCGUUUGUGUCAGCGACACACUCGUGAUACUCGAUUGCUCCUUAAACCACAAUCAUCCAAGGAAAGAACUGCAUCAAUGUUCUGAUGGCAAUCAGCUUUGUAACUCUAACCAAUGGAAAGACUCACGCCGUGCACCAAGGAUACACAUUUUACAGACAGUAUAUAAACAGGUCGUCUUCAAGAUGGACCUGCACCGCUUAUCCCAAGUGUAAAUCCUUCUUGUAUGUGAAAAAUAACUCUAAUUUCAUAAUAAAAGCCCAUAUAAAUCAUGCCACACAUCCGAAGAAACUGUUACAUUUGACACAUAGAGGUUAUAUGAAACUUAAAAUUUCAAGAUGAAUAUUGAAAGCAUUUUACUUAUGAUCUCAACUUGUACGGCCAUGUACAUAGAGUAAAACAUUAUUAUGUAUUUGUUAAAUUAAAGUUUCUAAUGGAGUAUUUGAGUUUCUGAUAUAUCUACCCUCACAUUUUGUUAUAUAAAAGCAGAUUUCAGCCCACAUCAACCAUACUAUACUUAUAUAUAUACGAUAUAAUUUAUACUUUAAUACUAUACGAUAUAAUUUAUGAAUGAGUCCCUAUCCUAUAUGCUAUGUCGGUCUUUCUCUUAUUUAUUUUAUACCUACCUUCAUAAAUAAAAAAUACUACAACGUUGUGGAAAAUCUUGAAAAUUAAAUUAUGGUCAUGGACAAAAUUAUGGUUUUCAAAAUUAUUGUUAUAAAGUGUCGUGAUGUUACUCUUCCUGUUGACCCACACUUCAAAGAACAACUCUAUUUUAACACUAUUAAUGAGCUAAUUAAAAUAAAUACAAACACGAUUACUAACAUAAUUCUGUUUACAGGCAAGUUGAUAGUAAAAGACGGCAAAACUCAGCUUGUGUAUGAAGGACAUUUGUACGACAAACAACCCUAUCAAAGUGAAAGUGGAAAAUUGAUUCGUUGGGUUUGCAACUCUUGGAAAUGUAAAGCAUCAAUUUACACCAAUGACAAAUACAUCGUUCAAAUGAAAAGUCAUAAGCAUUUCCACCAGCCCGGAGACGGAAAUCAAGACCUUAUAGCUGCAAAAAUAUCAAUUAAAUCGGUAUUGCCACAUAAGAAUACGGCUAAAAGAGGUAGAAAACCUGGGCCGAAAAAACGGGUUAUUAAACCAGUAUUGAUCCAGGCCCCUACUUUGGAUCAAGAGACCCAGGACACGGAUGAUGUUACAGAGGGAAUUGAGGCGCCUGUAAAGGAAAAUUUAACUGAGUUAAAGGACAUGUGCUUAAAGCUAGAACCUAUAGAUACUCCAAGACUUUUGCGUAAAAAAGAUCCUUUGUCUUGAAUUUUGACUUGAGUUCGAUUACCGUGUCAAUUUUCGAUAGGACAUUAUCGUCUUAUAUAAAGAGCUUUGAGAGUUGUUUCUUUAAAUUUAUAUGUAUUGUAUUGUGAUGCGAAAUGCCAGUGAUUUUAAGAUAAUUACGUUCUCCUUUAUUAACGUUUCUGUGAUUGCAAAUUGAUCUUUUUAUGACUUCGUCAUUGAAUCGUGCGGAAAUAAAGUCGCCCUUAUGAUUUUAGCCUCAUCAUCAUAAUCAGACAGUUGUUAUGCCCCACUGCUGGGGUUGCACCUUUACAGAGGAUGGGGCAUGACCCACCAUUCAGCCCAAAUACUAAUUGGUAGGUUUUUUAAACCUUAACAUUGUACAUUUGUUAAUCUUUAAAAUAUGAUGAGGGUACCCUUACUACAUGUAUUAUAUCAACUUUUUAGACGCAUAAAUGUAUUAAUUAAAUGUACUGUAUUGGCUAAUAAAAAUGCAUGCAUGUA
Plodia interpunctella (Indianmeal moth) is the source of this 3761-nucleotide long non-coding RNA. RefSeq lists it as uncharacterized. The record is from RefSeq and is a predicted model, not a curated record. Lineage: Eukaryota; Metazoa; Arthropoda; Insecta; Lepidoptera; Pyralidae. The transcript has 2 exons.